UGAGGAGCCCCACCCCCUGGUUAGGAGUUGAUAGGUGCUAAAGGGCUUGCCCAUCAAAGCCUGGUUAAGAAGCUCUCAACUCUCCUAGCAGGCUCUAGGCUUAGCACAGGGUCCCUCAAAAGAGCACACAACACUGUAUACUUAUAAGACACAAGCUACAGCCCGUAGGUGCUGACUCUGUGGAGGAGCUAGAGAACAGGAGUGGCUAAGUGUGGCCUUCGGUUUCUCCAUCGCGGAAGGCAAGAGGAGCUACAGACCAUGGAUGCUUUGAACCAUUUCCACAAGACUAGAAAUGACUGGAACCAAGUCAAGUGAAAAUAAUGCACCCUCCUUCUGAAGAUCUGAAAGUGCCUUUGACAAAUAUGAACUAAACCUCAAAAUCCUACAAGGUGGGAAUAUUGCCCCAUUUUGCAGAUGGGGAAACUGAGGCACAGAGUGGCUAAGUGACUGGCUUAAGGUUACACAGCAAGUCUGUGGCAGAGUCAAGAACAGAUUCUAGAUCUCCUGACUCCCAGCCCUUUUCUUUAGCCCCAGGACCAUCCUUCCCAUCUAAGGGGAGAACUCCCCUUCCCGAGUUAACCCGCUGCUCUCAUUUCUAAUGGCUGAAGAGGAAUAAAAUCAUGAGGGUGGACUUCGAGUUCUCCAUCUCUGCAGCAUGUGGCACUGAAUUAAGACUCACUUUAUUACCCUGGAAGUUGGGCUUUGGAGAAAGGCAGGUAAGUCAAAUACAGCAGUUUACAGGUUACAAAAUAAACUUUCCAGGUGAUCUGUGAAAAUUAAGAGCUAUUCACAGCUCACCUGCUUGUGCUAGAAAAAAAAUACAAGUCACAUUCCCUUCCCCUGCAAAACCCGGAGCCCUCCCAACCCCCACUAAAAAGAAAAUACUUCGUGUUAAUAGUUUGUUAAACCCAAGCAUUGAGGUUACAGGUGCAGUAACCAGCACAACUGGUACACUGCCUAGAACAGCACAGUUUGAGAUAUAAAAAGUAGCUUUCUUAAAAUCACUUCAAAACCAAUUUCUGUAUAAGAGGAUUAAAAGUAAGUUAGUUAUGAAUUCAAACCUCAGUGUAGAAAUCCACAGUUUUUAUCAAAGCAUACAGUAUUCAGUUCAAUAGCAAAACUCCAAGUGUCACAUACACCAGACCUCAGGGACUUUUUAGACCAGUAAGUCAAUAUAAAAGGUUAUUGCUCGAGAGAUUCUCAGUAGAACAUGUUUAUCAAGAGCAAGGAACAGGACAGUAUCAAAGAAGAGGGACUGCUGGCCUGAUUAGCAAAGAGGAAGAUGAACAAGGAAUAUGAAGUCUAUAGCUUUAUUUUUUCCUUGCUUUUUAAAAAAAAACCUAGAGAGGCUUUUCAGGCCUUUCCCUUGGUAAAAUGCAGGCCAGACACACAGCAUAAGCCACAUUCGCUCAGAGGAGAGGGCUGGGCCCUCAAAUUUCUCUGCAUUUUCUUUUAAAAUUAACUGGUGCCAGUCUCCUCCUCUCUCCCAGGAGCAGCAGAAUUAGGAGCAUUUGCCCUAACCACUCCUGGGGAGGUGGGGGUGUCCAGCACAACAUGGGACACUCCACUCAAGCAGGGAGGGGGUUUUCUUCCCCCCACCUCCUGCCCCAGUGUGUUGAGGAGGGGGAGAGAAUCACAAACUAGAAAGAGAGAGUAGCCCCCGACUCCCUCUUUCUAAAAAAUAAGUGGCAUCAAUUCCCUGCAGUGUUACUGAACUGGAAAGACUCCACUGCAGGGUCUUUACAGCUUCUGGGGCUGCUGCUGUGAUCUUAGUAAAUCCUGUGUGCCCCAGGACUCGACCAUGC
This is a long non-coding RNA of Mauremys mutica (yellowpond turtle), 1805 nucleotides long. RefSeq lists it as uncharacterized. The record is from RefSeq and is a predicted model, not a curated record. NCBI's taxonomy places the organism in Eukaryota, Metazoa, Chordata, Testudines, Geoemydidae. The transcript is spliced from 3 exons.